GAUGAAGAACGCAGCGAAAUGCGAUAAGUAAUGUGAAUUGCAGAAUUCAGUGAAUCAUCGAAUCUUUGAACGCACCUUGCGCCCUUUGGCCAUUCCGAAGGGCAUGCCUGUUUGAGUAUCAUGAACACCUCAACUCUUCAUGGUUUUCCGUGAUGAGCUUGGACUUUGGGGGUCUUGCUGGCCUAUGGUCAGCUCCUCUAAAAUAAAUCAGCUUGCCAGUGUUUGGUGGGUAUCACAGGUGUGAUAACUAUCUACGCUUGUGGUUUUCCACCAGGUAACCUUCAGCAGUGGAGGUUCGCUGGAGCUCACAGAUGUGUCUCUCCUCAGGGAGGACAGCUCUUUGAAUGUUUGAUCUCAAAUCAGGUAGGACUACCCGCUGAACUUAAGCAUAUCAAUAAGCGGAGGA
Molecule: unclassified non-coding RNA, 406 nt
Filed under: soil metagenome
Description: partial contains 5.8S ribosomal RNA, internal transcribed spacer 2, and large subunit ribosomal RNA
Rfam family: 5.8S ribosomal RNA (bases 1-121)
Source: RNAcentral